RNAcentral lists this long non-coding RNA (3804 nucleotides) under Canis lupus familiaris (dog). RNAcentral's name for it is "lncRNA (ENSCAFG00000055967.1, ENSCAFG00845003935.1)". The record is from RNAcentral. Lineage: Eukaryota; Metazoa; Chordata; Mammalia; Carnivora; Canidae.
UUCAUUCAUUCUUUAGUAGGAUGUUCCUUAACCUCCAUGUAUUUGAGGUCUUUCCAAAUUCUUCCUUGUGGUUGACUUCCAGUUUCAUAACAUUGUGGUCUGAAAAUCUUGAUCAUCUUGUACUUGUUGAGGGAUGAUUUCCGACCCAGUAUGUGAUCUAUUCUGGAAAAUGUUUUAUGUGCACUUGAAAAGAAUGUGUAUUCUGUUGCUUUAGGAUGAAAUGUUCUGACUAUAUCUGUUUAGUCUAUCUGGUCCAGUGUGUCAUUAAAAGCCAUUGUUUUCUUGUUGAUUUUCUGCUUGGAGGAUAUGUCCAUUGCUGUAAGUGGGGUUUUAAAGUCCCCUACUAUAAUUGUAUUAUCAUCAAUGAGUUUAUGUUUGUUAUUAAUUGAUUUAUAUAUUUGGGGUCUCCCAAGUUGGGGUAUAAAUAUUUACAAUUGUUAGAUCUUCUUGAUAGAUCUCAUUAUGAUAUAAUUCCCUUCUUCAUCUUUUGUUACAGUCAUUGUUUUAAAAUCUUAGUUUGUCUACUAUAAGUAUGGCUACUCUGGUUUUCUUUUGAUGUCAAUUAGCAUGACAUAUGGUUCUCCAUUCCUUCACUUUCAAUCUGCAGCUGUCUUUAGGUCUAAAGUGAGUCUCCUGUAGGAAGCAUAUAGACAGAUCUUGUUUUUUUUAAUCCAUUCUGAUAUCCUAUGUCUUUUGAUUAAUGCAUUUAAUCUAUUUACAUUCAGAGUGAUUGAGAGUUAUGAAUUUAGUGCCAUUGUGUUACUUGUAGAGUUGGUGUUUCUGGUGAUGUUCUUUGGUCCUUUCUAGUUUUUGUUGCUUUGGUCUUUACUCAGAAUCCCUCUUAAAAUCUCUUGCAGUGCUAAUUUAGUGGUCAUGAAUUGAUUGAGUUUUUGUUUGUCCUUCUAUUCUGCAACCACUUUCUAGCCUUGCUAUAUAAAGAAUUCCUGGCUGCAUAUUUUUCCCAUUCAUCAUGUUGAACAUUUUCUUCCUCUCCUUUCUGGUCUACCAAGUCUCUGUGGACAGAUCUGCUGUGAACCUGAUCUGUCUUCUCUUAUAGGUUAAGGACCCCAGUUUCCAUCUGAAUCCUGCAUUGAUCCUGCCCAUGUCUGAGCCUUUUUAUCUCAGGGACAUGACCCAGUUUCAAACCAAAUUUCUGGGAUGAGAUACCCAUAGUAGGGACCCGCACUGUUACUCUGGGGAGGGUGUCAGCAACUCUCCAGGCUCAUCCCAGGAAAGCAGUCACAUGACCAUCAUGGCAUAGUUUGCAGUUUAUAGCAGAAAGCCAGCACAAAGACCCACUCACUGUUCCUUGCCGGUUUCCCAGCUCCUGUGCCUGGGAGCAGCACUGCACCUUGGUAUCACCCAUUUCUCUGUGACCCAGGGGAUCCUCAGACCACCUUCUUACCCCUAGGAUUCUUAGCCUCUUUGCCACCUGAGCACCUCUAAUCCAGGCACACCCCCCAAAGUAGCAAAUUUAAACAUUCAGAUUUUGCACUCUGAGGUUUCUGAUACUUUAUGGUGGCCUCCAUAAGCAGGCUCCCUCCCUGCCACCUCAUCCACAGCUAUGUCACUCAAGUGAACUUCAGCGCCUCCUACUUUCCAAAAAGUGAUCACUUUUCUACUUGCAGACUUACAGUUUUUAUUCUCACAGAACUCUGGAUUGAUUUCUUGGGUGUUCAGAAUAAUUUGAUAACUAUCUAGCUGUGUUCAAGGGACAAGGCAAGUUCUGGGUCCUCCUACUUCUCUGCCAUCUUAAUUCCUCCUCUUCAACUUAACAUUUCUUGAUAUAACUUUAUAUUGAGUCCAAUAGUCUAUAUUUUUGUGAUUUGUUGACAUUUUCUCCCUUUUCAUCCAAGAGGUAGUAAGAAAUUCCCACUUCACAAUUUUCUGGUGUUUUGUAGCAUUUAGGCUCAGUCAAUACCUUUUUUAUUACUACUUUUAAUAAGCUUUUUAAAAUUUAUUUUUGCUUUAAGAUUCAAGAUAUCUGAAAAACAAUACAGAGAAAUGCCUUUGCUGGGCAAAUGGAGGCUACUAAUCUAAACAAGUGACUUCAUAUGUCAGUCUUCUCUAAGAUAAGGUGAAUCAUUUCCUGUCAUUUCAGAUUUGAAUCACCUCUAUAUGCAUUUAAAAGGUUCUAGAUAUUUUACCCAGCUUCUAAUCCUUUUUUGGUCAUAAAAAUUCUGGCUGAAUAAUUCUGUGGGUAAAGUGAAGUUCCACAUUGUUUUUUCCAUUAGCUUCACUGGUUCCAAAAAAAUACUGAAUACUUAAUAGGGUUGGAAUUAGCUAGAAUGUAUGAAAUGACUUCAAGGACAUUACUCAGCGAUGGGCCUCCAGGUGGGAAUAUCAGUAGGCAGCAUAACUUUGCAGGGACAUAAGUUGACUGAAGAUGGCACAGAAAAAUUCAGAAUGAAAGUUGAUACCACUUCCCUUUGCUACAUCUCCUUUAUCCAGCUUCCGUCACUGGGCACAAUGCAGUAGUCAGAACCUUUUCUCAAUGAAGACACAGCUUAAAAACAGGGCUGAGAGUGCUGCCUGAUAGACCUGCUGUUCUGGAAGCCUGAGGUUUCCUUUUUAGCUUUCAAUUUCUUUCAUAUCAGAUAGGAACACUGAAGCAACAUUCUAAUGAGAGCUGUAGCACCUAAGAGUAGUGGUUUAAAAGAAAAAGAAAAAGAAAAAAAAAGGAGCUUGCAUUUCAACUCCUGACCUGACAAAUCUCAUUUGCAAAACAAGUGAAACUAAGAGGACACAGAGAGCCUCACGGGUCAGAGACAGCAUUCCACUGUGACAUUAUUCUAGUUUACAGCCUGACAGUCCAUGAAAGGCUUAACAAGUCAACAAACUAACCCUUAGUAAUCAGUUAAUGUUCUGAAGGUACUUCUGCUAAUGAGGCUUGCUGUGAAAAACACAAGGUAUUUUACUAACUCAAAUUUUAAUUAUUCAUGCUAUAAAUAUUCAUUGAGGCACCCUAAACAGUAUGAGAGAGUGAACUGUGUGAAGCACUGCAGGGCAAGACAACCUCAUAGUGAAAGAUAGUCAUAAACCUGGCCUCACAGAACUUCCAGUUUUAUAUGAAAGACAAAUAAUCACUACAAGUUACAAGAAUAAUAUAUGAGUUUUAUUAUAGGGAAGUAAGAACAUAUUAGAAGGAUCUAAUUUUUGUCUUAGGAUCAGGGAAAGCUCCCCCAAGGGUAUGAAUGAGCUAAUCCCUGUGGGAUAAGUAGAGAUUACCCAAUGUGUCAGAUAUUCUUAUGCACAAUUUCAGAUUCUCUCAAUCUUACCCAGCUCUUAUUUCAGCUACCAUAGAGUUGACCAGCUUUUGGCAAUCUCUGACCAAUUUCAUGUAGUCGCAACCCAAACUGCUUCACCUCAACCCUGAAUGUCUCAACUCCCACACCAGGGCUUCCUUGCUGAUCCCUCAGAAUUUACUCUGUGACUAUAUACGUGCAGCCUGAAGUGCAGGGGAUUUAACAGCACAUAAGGUGAAACUUUGACCAGUGAAAAAGGAAGGAUCAUGGAUAAAGCCUUCCCUAUUCCCCAAACUAAUGGACUAUCCAGGGAGAAUUAGGCUUCUCUGAGUGCUGUCUAGUCUUAGCACUACUUAGCAACAAAUUCGCUGAAGAGAAAUGGAGAGAAACUUUAUUUCACUUCUUUGUUUGGCUCUCCCUCCUUCCUUCUCUGUUUUACCCUGGUCCUCCCUCACUUCUGUUCCCUGGGAGGAGGCUCUCUAGUAAAAGUGUAGCUCAAGAGUCUGUUUUAGACUCAUUUUCAGGGGAACUUAGGCAAAAAAAAAAAAAAAAAAAAAAA